This is a non-coding RNA of Castor canadensis (American beaver), 1354 nucleotides long. NCBI's taxonomy places the organism in Eukaryota, Metazoa, Chordata, Mammalia, Rodentia, Castoridae. The record is from RefSeq and is a predicted model, not a curated record.
CGGGGCGCGGGCCCCGCGGCUGAGCCCCGGCGGCGGCGCGGGCAGCAGCCGCCUCUGAGCUCGGUGCGCGCCGCUCCGCUCCCUGGUGUGUUGAUUCUUCCCCCAGCUGCUGCCUAAUGGAGUCCGGGCUUCGCGUCACAGGAAAUGCCUAUACUGCCCUCCGCGCUCACUUCCGGCAGCAGGACCGCUGAGGAAUGCUUCCUCGGGCACAGCUAUUUGUCACUGCCUUAGAAGCUGCUUGGCUGCAGAAGGGACACAGCCUCUGGUCCUGGUGAGAAGCUUUUGGAGAUUUUGAAGCAGGCCUUUUCCCUGGCUGAAGGCAGCACUUGAAAGUGGAGUCUCUUAUGGAAGGAUUAGUAGAGGGAGGAGUCAGCCAUUAGGACACCAUGCACAUAGCAAUCCUCACCAUGACCACCAACCUCCCUGCUGACUCAUCUGCCCAUAGCGUGAUUAACCUGGAGGGGGACAAGCAGAUGUCAUGAUCCAAGAAGAUACAGGAUGAGGCUUGCCCCAGGAGUUUCUGGCAUCCUCACCAGUGAGCGACUCCACAAGAACUGGGUGUGGCCCCAGCAAGUGGGCACAGCAAGGGAGGAAAAUAUCCGGGGAGAAAGUGUCUCCCCUGAACACCAGCCUGAGAAUUGUGGAGGGGUGCCUCCCAGUCUGCAUUCUGCAUGGAAAUCUAAUGUUCAUCACAGCUGGAGACAAUAGCCCCAUCUUUGGGCAUAGUCAAAGAAGUAUGUAAGGAGUCCACAGGAAGUUGGUAAGAGACAAUGGUGCUUCAGGUGAAACAGAAAGAGAGUCACACAGAAUGGAUUUGUCUCCUAAAGCACGGAUGGCCAUAAUUGAAUCCUCUCUUGUGCGUGUUCCCCUCUUCUAGUCUUUCAGGUUUGAGGAGAAGAGAUGGCUCUGGCUUCCAAAAGUAGCCUUGUGGCUGCAGGAGAACUGACUCUGCCUAACCAUUUUUAUGUUUCCCAUGUAAAAUUUAACAGCGUCUUAAACAGAGCUUCUCUAAAGAUCAAAGGUGCCCAGCUGAAUGGGAAUCUGUUUUGCAAAUUUAAUACUUUUUCCUUCAGCUCCCCCUCCCCACCAGUGGGCGAAAUAUUGUGCCACAGGGCCAAAGAAUCCAGUUUAGGGAGGAACCUCCUUCACAUUCCCAGCCAGACACUUUUUUCCUUCUUGUAACUUUCCAGUAGUCAUUUAGGGAAUAGGAUUGGUAACUCUGACGCCUGGUGGUCAAUUGAAAAAAUGCACCCUGGAGGAAUUGAAUGUCCACUUUUAUCAUUUAAAAUUUUAAUUUUCUGCUUCCAAUUGUAAUGUAUACAUGACACAUUUUAUUAUUAGUGAUUAUAUUAUU